UAAACGACUCUCGGCAACGGAUAUCUUGGCUCUCGCAUCGAUGAAGAACGUAGCGAAAUGCGAUACUUGGUGUGAAUUGCAGAAUCCCGUGAACCAUCGAGUUUUUGAACGCAAGUUGCGCCCGAAGCCUUCGGCCAGGGCACGUCUGCCUGGGCGUCACGCA
This 163-nucleotide ribosomal RNA is filed under the name Amaranthus hybridus (smooth pigweed). Its description in RNAcentral is "5.8S ribosomal RNA". It matches the Rfam family "5.8S ribosomal RNA". Rfam says of the family: 5.8S ribosomal RNA (5.8S rRNA) is a component of the large subunit of the eukaryotic ribosome. It is transcribed by RNA polymerase I as part of the 45S precursor that also contains 18S and 28S rRNA. Functionally, it is thought that 5.8S rRNA may be involved in ribosome translocation. RNAcentral also lists the same sequence under 2 other names. Lineage: Eukaryota; Viridiplantae; Streptophyta; Magnoliopsida; Caryophyllales; Amaranthaceae. The record is from RNAcentral.